UACGAAGGGGGCUAGCGUUGCUCGGAAUCACUGGGCGUAAAGCGCACGUAGGCGGACUCUUAAGUCAGGGGUGAAAUCCUGGAGCUCAACUCCAGAACUGCCUUUGAUACUGGGAGUCUUGAGUUCGGGAGAGGUGAGUGGAACUGCGAGUGUAGAGGUGAAAUUCGUAGAUAUUCGGAAGAACACCAGUGGCGAAGGCGGCUCACUGGUCCGGUACUGACGCUGAGGUGCGAAAGCGUGGGGAGCAAACAGG
Molecule: ribosomal RNA, 253 nt
Filed under: uncultured bacterium
Lineage: Bacteria
Description: partial 16S ribosomal RNA
Rfam family: Bacterial small subunit ribosomal RNA
Source: RNAcentral